AAAGGGACAAGGAGAGAGAGAGAGAGAGAGAGAGAGAGAGAGAGAGCGCCAGGCGUGUUUCCGACGUGAUACGUAAAUGUCUGACACCACCGGGGACAACAAGACAGGUGGGGACGACCAACAGAGAGAGCAAGAGGAGAGGGCGUCGCGGCGCGCAGCGUCUGCUGGUCGAUCGAUGACUAGUCGGCGAGUUCGCGCGGGAUUAUCGCACGCCCGUGGCUUGGCUCUUCGUGUUGUUCCUUAUCGCCGCGUCCCUAGGUACUCCCGUCAAUCCUGGAGCACUUGAGGAAUCUCUGGAGGAAGUGAAGAUCCUUAAGGGAAUACGAGAUUUUCCCUCUCGUUGAUCACUUCCGUGUUUCUUCCUUAUCGUCACGUCUCUAGGUGCACCCGUCAAACCUGGAGGACCCAAAGAGUUCUCUGGAGGAAGUGGAAGUCGUUAAAGGGAUACGAGAUUUUUGCUCAUUCGGAUUGCUUCGUUCUUCUUCCUUCCGUCUGUUUGUUGUCGUUGAUUGUACAGUCGAGUAGGACUUGGUUCAUAACGCGAGUUUGAUUAUCAAGUGACGACAUCGGCACAAUCGUCGAUCUGUUUCCGGUUGGCGGAAGCAAUGACGAUUAGCAAACGCUGUCCUUCGGGCUAAUACGGGAACGUUAUGUGUCUCAGCUGUUCGCUCCUGGAGGAGAAAAACCGAUGGUGGAUCCAAUCUUUAUUUCUUGCCUCCUCGUGCACGCAAGGAUGCCGCAUCGAUCAACAGAUUACUGAGCGAGCUAAAUUCGUAACGUUCGCUAGCGCCGAUUAAAAUGGAUCGCGUCUGUGUACACGAGCGAGCGAUUCCGCGAUUAGAUAGUACCAAUAACGCUUAUCGCCGCCAAUUUUUUUCGUCUUCACAGCUGCGCCGCGCAGAUUAUUCCGCUAUGCGUAUUGUAGAGCAAAUUGGCGAGAGAUUCUGCUCCGCGUUCUGUGAAAUCUCACUUUUAUCUUGAUCAAUUUUCCUGCCACCUCUGUAUCGGAAAUCUGCUUCAACAAUUUCGUGAAUUGUGGUGGUUUAAUUUUUUCCUUCUUCGUACUUCUCCUUUAUUUUGAUACCUUGUAUUUGAAUCCCUCAUUAAAUUCAAAUUAUCCCGAACUUCUUUCUCUAUCUUGCGAUCUUCCGAUGCAUACAUUUCCACAUUUCGCGAAUGAUAUACAUAUAUCACAGGCGAGUUCGAAGAGACUGAAAAUAUUUAAAAGUGGAAAGUUUUAAAUGUCGUCCCAAUCACAUAAAUAAUUAAUCGCUUAAUCAAGAUUUUGCAAGCAGGUCUCCGCUGCGCAUCGGGAAUCUCUAACAACGUAAACCCUGCGUCGAGAAUAAUAAAAAAAAAGAAAAUAACGUCACAAUCGACGAUCCGAUUCGCUCGUACUCCAAAGUGUUACAAGUGAAGCUCUCUUACGGAGAGUCGCGCCCUCGAAAUCGGAACGCGAUACUUUUACUGCGUCCCAUUAAGACGCACACGCGCACAUAUAAACAACGUUUCGACACGCGCACCUACGUCCGGAAGUCUAGCUGCGCGCGUCCUUGUACGAAUUGCGACAGCCCCGGCGACUUUCGGAGCGGCUUCGACGCGGUCGUUUCCUCGCGAAGUGGAUCACUGACAGCAAACGCGGCGGGCUUUACUCUCCGCUCUAUCCCGCGGCCGCUCUUUUUCUCGCGAGUCUAUCCCCUCUUCCAAUUCCUCUUUCCCUCUCUCUCUCUCUUGUUCUCGCGCAGUUCCGAAAUUACCGAAAUAAAUCUCGCGGAAACGCGGGCUCUAACACUCGUAUUUUUUCUCUUCCGCUUCGUUAUCGCGAGAUGACGGAAGAAGAACAACGACGCCGAGUCUGACGUCUCUGUCUCUCUAUCUCUAUCUUCCCGCGCGCACUUUCUCGGCCGUAAAUAGCCGCGCGACUCUUCAAAUACUCCACGACAUCGGCAGCAUCGUGGCCGACCGCUACGUCUUGCUCUACUUCGCUGGAAUCGAAGCGGCCGCGAUCAGCGUCGCUUCUCCUCGCGAAACGCGACGACCGACUGCGCUGCUUCUUCACCACGAGGCAUCAUCGAGGCUCUCUCUCUCUCUCUCUCCUCGACGUCGACUCGCGGUUGCUACCCGACUCCCCUCGAGAAUGACGUUUUCUUCCCCGCCGACAAUCCUCCCUCCUUCGCGGCGAUUUAAUUAUUCGCGGGCAGCAUCGAGGUCGAUGCCUGCAGGUGGUCGCGAACGUACGUCACCGACGCUCGCGAUGACAGCUUGACGGCUGCCGGGGGAGCGAGGAGGGAGGGAGGAGGGAGACACGUGGUGAACCCGCGGAUGACACAGAUCUCUCGCCCUGCGAAUGACACCGAGCUCGACACGCCUCGAUCACGCUUCCGGUUUCGCCGGGGCUGAUGCCUCGCUUCGCCCUUCGUCGUUUCCUCUCUUGCGCAUCCUUUUCGACGAGGUCCUCCGAGGUCCCCCGACAGAGACGAUCACCAGUGCUUGAUACGCUUGACUCGUCGAUACGAAGGCGCGACGCCGAAGACGACGAAAUCCGCGACGAUCGCGACGGCGUCAGCAGGCGUCAGGCAUGCGUGUUGGGGAAGCUGCGGACUUUCACGCCUGUCUGCCUCCUCUUUUCUAUCCUCGUCCCUUUGUCCCUUCACCUGACACCGCUCUCUUUCUCUCUCCUGCUAGCUAAACGUGCCGCCUAGCCACGAGUUGAUUCACGAGGAUCGUCGAGUCUAGAUACUGAUGUGCUUACGCUAAUUUAAGUAAUACGAGUUCAAGCUGAUCAAACCCCGCGCGAUAAGACGCUUGAAAGACGUCACAAAGACGUCUAUAUAGGAUAUGCGUUCUUUUAUGAUUUUUUUCAGGUGUCUCUUUUUAGUGUCUGCUGAGGAAUAUUUUGCUCCGAAGACUCUGACUCGAGAAAAAGAACGUUAGAUGUAUUGAGCGAUGUUGGAAAGAAAGUCUUCAGCUCCUUCGGGCUUUCGAAAAUCUGUUUCCGAUAGUAAUCGCGAUAUUCCGCAAAGUCUCGCCAAUAAAUCUUCAUCGAUUCGAAUUUAAAUUUCCGAAAGCCUUUCGAUUUGUUUGAAUAAAAGCUCCCGAUUCUCUUCCUGAUUUAUUCAGAAAGUCUUUAGAAUCGCGGGAUGCAUUAUUCGUCCGUAACGUCAAGCUUUUCAAGAGAAUCUUCAAAGAGGGACAGACUUUACGGAGAGCAAAAAGACACUUAAAUUAAAAAAAAAAAAAAGAAGAAAAAGAGAAAAAUUUGACAUUUGCGAGCUGGUGAACGCGUCUGCGCAGCUGGAAGCCUGCGUUGUUGACACUGCGACAUUGUAAUGAGUUAACCAGCUCCUCUCUCUGUCUCUUUCUCGUUUUCCCUCCUCAUCCCCGCUAUCACGACGAGAAUAUACCUGCCGGCGCAUCAUACCCUCUCGCGAUACGUAUUUAUAAAUCGUGAGCCACUUGGCAGUACAAAUGCAACCCGGUAGCGAUCGCGGGAGGACAGUCGAGUCCGAAUUUUCCUCGAGAUUCGAGUCCCAAGUGGAUUUCUACGCAAGCUCGAGUAAUUAGACUGAGGCAUUUACAUACAUAUAUAAAGUUAGAAGAAUUUCUAGUUGAGCAGAGAUUCGAAUUAUCCGCGCGAUCUAAUUGUGGUACAAUGUCCGCUCCUCAGCUACGUCUUAUUUUUACACGAGCGGUCGCGAAAAAGAAAAGAAAGAAACAGCGGUCGCAACUCUUUGUCGCGUCCCGCUUUCUCUCUCUCUCUCUCUCAACUGGCUUUCUCUACAGCAUUUUCACCAAAUCUCGUCGGUGAUAAGUGCCGCUUGACGUCAACGCUUCCUUCGUUAUCACUCGCCUGCGAGAGAGGCGAAGUCUAUCUCUCGCGUCACCAAAGACGAGACGAAGUCCGUGUAAAAAAUCUCGCGAAUUUUUCCGCAGACCUCGGUUCGUUGACGUUUCGACCGCCUGAUGAUAUUAAUAUUACUAUUCUUGUGAAAUUCAAGACGCAUGUUGCAACGCGCGAGCGCCGGUUGACGUUUCUCAUACACGUCGGUCACGCAACUGUUAGUUAGGCGCCGAUAAUAGACGAGUGUACGCGCAUGAUAAUAUAGCACUUAGAUUUCAUCCGAGAUGGACUAUAGUCGACCCGCGUUAACUUCUACGUCAUGCGAUAAAAGUAUAUGUGCUCCUAAUUAAGUCCCAAUUUCUGUUGACACGCGCGUCUGUGAGAUUGAGACACUAUUUUCAAUUCCGCUGUCAGAAGUCGCCAAGGCUGUCCCAAAAUAAAUGUCGUCGGCGAAGAAUGAAUGACUUUUACGCCUGCUCUAAUCUAAGUCAGUGUGAAAUUAUUGCUACAGCGCGAAUGUAGGCUUGAAAAAUCUUGUUAUGUGAUAACCGAUAAACAUAUAUAUUUGACGUACGUCAUCAUAAACGUCGCGAUGAUAAUGUAACGUUACGGAGUUUUAGAAACCCUUGCGCUUUAUUAUGUAUAAAUGUUACAUUUAUGUAUAAAAAGUAUAGUAGAUACAAAUAUAUAUGGCUUUAUAGGAAAAUAUAUAUGGCUUUAUACCUUCA
Molecule: long non-coding RNA, 4569 nt
Organism: Nylanderia fulva
Lineage: Eukaryota; Metazoa; Arthropoda; Insecta; Hymenoptera; Formicidae
Source: RefSeq, a predicted model, not a curated record